Clupea harengus (Atlantic herring) is the source of this 5181-nucleotide long non-coding RNA. The record is from Ensembl. NCBI's taxonomy places the organism in Eukaryota, Metazoa, Chordata, Actinopteri, Clupeiformes, Clupeidae.
AGAUCAAGACUCAGACCUUUGGUGCAGCAGAAAAAAUAAACAAACAAACAAAGACAAACAACACAACAACAAAAAAUAACUAAUCCAUCCAACUCCAGACUCACGCCGACCCUUGCCAAACCUUCAGUAAGCACCAAAGUCUGUUUACAGCACACAAAAACCUCCAUAGAGCUGUCCCCUAUCUCCCACACAAUACACUCACACACACACACACACACACACACACAUCAUAUUUGUUCGCUUUCUGAUUCCUUCUGAACUUACUGAUGACAAAGGAAGACAGAACAGCGGCAAGCUUCUUCGGAAAUAAUGCAGUCCUCUCUGGAGAAUGGGCAGGGGAUGGACACUGGCCAUCGAAAGACUCUAAAAGAGUUGCAUUUAGGGGAUCAGAAGGAGCGGGAGCUUGAAGCAUCGCUUGAAGGACUUAACAAAAAGUAGUUGUAGCCAUACCUGUAAAAAGAGCUCAAGAAAAACUAAUGUCGACUAGUUAUGUGAUGUUUACCUGUGGUUUCCUGGGAGGUGUUACAAGUAUGUGGUUUAGUGACAAACCUGGGUAACUUAACUCAGAGGAAGUGAUAAACCCCCUAAUAGAAGAUAGUUAUAGAAACCUAAAAUGGCUUUGUUUUGCUAGGAGAAUGAAGCCAUAGAAGUAGUCUAUUAGGGGGUUUACCACUUACUCUGAGUUAACUUACCCAGGUUUGUCCCUGAACCACGUUCUUGGAAUAGCGCCCUGAAGGUUUUUCUCUUCCCUCGCUUAUUGUGUUGUUUUCAAAGAUGAUCUCUGUGAUUGAAAUGUUGGUUUGACCAUCAUCACCCUGCUUCCUUUUAUUUUGGGUUUGGACGAGACACAGAGAAAACUAAAGUGACAUGUAAACCCCAACACACACACACACACACACACAAACGCGCGCACACACACACACACACACACACACACACACACACACACACACACACACACACACACACACACACACACACACACACACACACACACACACACACACAAACAUAGACACACCCACCAACACACAAUAGCUGAACAUCAAGACCAGCACACUCAGGAGGACUAUUGUCAUGAUACUCGGUGCACUUCUGAUUGUGUUGUUGUUUUGUUUUCCUUAUAUAAUGAUUAGUUUAAAACUCAAUUGAAUUUAUGACAAACUAUUGUUCUGAUCAAGUUAACACAUUAUCUUAGGUUAAUACUAUAGAAGAUUUUUUUAUUGUUUAUGCAUACUGUAUGUAACUGUAAAAAGAGUGUGAUCUGUCCAGAUUUCCUUGGAAUGCCCACUGAUAGGUGCUAAGCUAGCUAGCAAGCUAACUAGCAGGCAUUUAUUAGCUGUUGAUGCUUUUAGGGGUAAUAUGAGUGUAAAAUGUAGCCAAACUUCAAAAAAGAAGAAGGUGUACGUCCUAUUUUGAACAUUACCAGGCCAUACCAGGUGCUAAUCCUUCAGUGUUGAGCCCUGUCCUCUGUGUGCGGGCUUGUAUCAAGAUCCCGCUCCCCUGUGAGGAUGUAGCAUUAUUGCUAGCGAUAGCACUUCAAGUUAGCUGUCAGCAUGUGGAGGCGCUCCCAGGCAGCACGAAGAGACUUCCUCCUGGAAGCCAUUUUUACUGAUCAGAAACAAUAAGCUAUCUUUUGUACAUUUGCCAAAACUACUUGAACAUGGCUGGGAUGCUGGCAGCCAAAAACAAAGGAGGAAGCUAAAACAGACCACCUGAACAACUCAUACACAGACACACACACACUUAGGGUACGAACAUACCAGACGCGUUUCUAAAAACGUAUACGCUUCAAAAACCCUUGGCAAAGUGGGCGGGUGAAACAGCCGCAGGCGCACCAGGCUGUUUUGCCCGGCGCCUAUGAAGCGGAGCUGCGUGCGCAACCUGCCUGGGCCGAGGAGCGGUGGAUAAAAGGCGCACACGAAAGGUGCGCCGUGCCAUAGGAAACAAUGGUUUUGCUAGCGUCACGUUUUUAGAAACGCGUCUGGUGUGUUCGUACCCUUACACCCCAAUCAUAUAAACACACACACCAUUUACAUGCACACACACUUACACAGUGGCGGACUGUGGGUUUUUAUGCUCAGGCCUUGACUAUUUAUAUUUUGUGGGAGUAAAAAACAAUUAGGGAGAUUCUGAUUCUGUUUUUUUUUUUACCAUUAUAGCCUUUAAAUGCCCACUUUACGAGCAUUUUGUGAUGAAAAGGACAGAGGAAACGCAUAGCUUAAGCAAUGUGACCAUAGCAAGGUCGUUUUGCAGCAGUGUUUUACAUAAUGUUACCGUAUUUCACUAAAGUAACAACCUACCACCAAUCAACAUUAAUGUCAAAGCAAUGGCACUACGAGAUGACAGAAAUCCUUGUAUUUGUUUAUUGGUCAACAGCAGCAAAACGUGAACUUCCCCAGCAAAAUGAGCUACUUACCCUGUAACAGCUAGCAUCCCAUAGCUGGCAUAUCACCAUGUUACAUUACCAAACUUUAGAAAAUGAAACAAUUCGAUUGGCUGAUCACACUGUGAGCCUUCUGAGGACUCAGUGAAGGCUUUGGAGGGCGGAGAUCAGGCUCACGCUUCACAGAGAACGACUCUCCCCUUCUUGAAUCACAUACUUGGAUGUAAUGAGAGAAGGAAGUGAUUAGUGAAACGGGCAGAUGCACAGAGAUGAUUAACAGUAAAGUAAAAUACCUCUUUCCUCAUUUUGAAAAUUGCUAGGCCUUUAGAAAAGGUCUUGUAGGCCCUGACGGUCCGCUACUGCUUACACCCCAAUCAUACACAACAUUCACACGCAUACACACACACACACACAAACACACAUAGUGGAGAUGAGGGACUUAAUCCAAUAUGCAACUCCAUCAUAAGUGCUCAGGGGAGAAGGGCGUCACCACAGCAACAUCUUGACGCCAUCUCGAUCUUUCUGCAAUCUGGUUGUACAGAAUUACUUUAUGAAAAAAAAACUGAAAAGAAAAAUGAAUAUUUUGGUGCUGUGAUUAUUCAGCCGUGUGCCACAAUCAUUUGGAAGAAAGAGAAGAAAAAAAACAUCCUGGACUUUACUUCUACUUUUGUUUUGUUGCUGUUUCUGCUUUUCCAGGCUUAAUUUGUCAUUUUUCUCUCUUUGAUAUGCUCUCCAGUCAAAACAACACAGAAUAUUCUGGGACAACUUUCACACAACAUCCUUCUUUUGUUUAGUUUUGUUUCAUUUCCUUUUUGUUUUUUAACCCUUCCCUGUGCUCAGUUGGGAAGUGAUUCUUGGUACUGCAUACAUCCAUGUAUGCAUGUGUGUAAAUAUGCAUAUGCAUCUUGUCAAAUACAUGUAUGAAUAUAUACCUGUUAUCUUCUGCUUUUCUCAGUGUAGUUACUUGGUGGUUAAGCCAGCUCACCUGCAAAGGUUGGCGUGUUGUGUGGAUGGAUGGUGCGUCAUAUUUGUCUAUUGAUGGGAUCUGGGAUGGGUUUAGUGUUGCAGGUUUAAGCCCCUCAGGCCCAGCUGGUAAUGGGUGCUUUUCUAGACCACAAACAACACUGUUCCGUUGGUGUUUUAGAACUAAAACAGUGCUGUGUUGAAUGUUUCAUGUUUCUAGUGUGUUUUUUUGCUCCAAGCUACACUUACGCACAAAGCAGUAAACAUCAGUGGACCACUAAAAAACAAGCAAGCGUAUCUAUAAAACAAAUCUCAAAUUUACAGUUGAGAUAAAAGCAAAUGUUCCCAGUGAACUCAUAGUUGCUUAGAGCAGCCAACAAAAUGUAGCAGGAACACUCUACCUAGUGACUGACUAUAACCCUGAACAGAACUUAUGAACUCAUGUCUCGCUAAGCAGGAACAGGAAGUGGGCUGUCCCGCAUGGCUUGUUGUGAGAAUGUCUCCUAGCAACGCCUGACUGCAGCAUGAGCACCCGCCAGAUAAUAUAUGUCUCUGUUUUGGAGUUAAAUGUCAUCCGGGUAUGCCCAUUCAUCUCACUUUUGUCACACACACACAUACACGCAUACUCACACAUAAGUACACACACGUGUGGAUAUUGUGGGAUCACACACACGUUUCCUCUCAAUUUCAUUAAUUGAGUUUUCUCCUAUUUGAAGAGCCGCAACUUUUUGCACUGGAGGUUUUUAUGGAGUAUAUAUGAAACCAGACGAAAGUAAAGAAUCUGGGGAGACAAUAUAUGAGAUAUUCCUGCCCAGUCCCGCCACAUCAUGUCCUCCUCAACCCCAACCCAAUCCAGGCUUGCACACUGUGGUGUGUGCAUUCACUGAGGUACCAGGGCAGAGACCCAGAGCUACACAGCAUAGAGAAGAGGGCCAAGGGAAGCAUGAAAGUAAAAAAGCGUUUGUAGGAAAGGGGAGAGAGCAGUUUCUCCACCCAGCUUUUGAACCCAGGUCUACGGGGUAUCAAACCUGCAGCCUGACCACAACACCAAAGAGCCAGGCUCAUUGGUAGUCAGAUUAACCGCACUCAACCGUAGUGAUGGCACUCUGUCACAGCGUUUGAUACAGGAACCGGACAUAGAGGCUUUGUCGUGUCAGCCUCAAGUGAAAGGGCCCUUACUAAGGUGGUGCCACCACAGCAACCAAACCAGUGCCAAUCAAUUGUACCCGCAGGUGAGAGGAAGUCUCUCCUCUCUCUCGAGCGAGUCAGAUAACCCUGUUUUGUGGGUGAGUUCUCGUUCCCCUAAAUAUCUACAAAGACACAUUUCAGUAGUCUCCCAUAGAAAGGGAGGGGUGGUGGUGGUGGUGGUGGUGGGAUUUAGCCGGAUCCAUCCUAGCUAGCAUGGAUCAGCAGGAUGGUCCACCUUUUGGUCCGGUCUUAACUCCAUGUAGGCGUCCUGUCCAGCACCACACACUGAUGAUUUCAGAGCAAGAUGACUCUCUUGUCCACACCUGACACUUGACCUUUUGUCCUUGACCUCUCAACCCCCACCCCCAGUGGUAGUAUGGCUUCUGUAUUUGAUGUUAGUGGGUAUUUCACCUGUGUACUCCGUUUUCAAUUGUAAUCUAGUUUGUAUGAGAAAUGGUGCGCAUGUAAAUAAAGCUUGGUGAAGCUCAGCACCGCCUCCUGUCCUGCCUAUUACCGGAGUCUGAGGCUGUGCGUGGUCCAAGUGCUUAGAUGCAGGCACAUCUCAAUAUUUUGUGUGUGUUUAUGAAAACAAAUUUCUUGUGUCAUUUGUUGUGUGAUUUUAGUGAUUUGGGUUCACACCAGCA